AGCGAACGCUGGCGGUAGGCCUAACACAUGCAAGUCGAACGAACUCUUCGGAGUUAGUGGCGGACGGGUGAGUAACACGUGGGAACGUGCCUUUAGGUUCGGAAUAACUCAGGGAAACUUGUGCUAAUACCGAAUGUGCCCUUCGGGGGAAAGAUUUAUCGCCUUUAGAGCGGCCCGCGUCUGAUUAGCUAGUUGGGGAGGUAAAGGCUCACCAAGGCGACGAUCAGUAGCCGGUCUGAGAGGAUGAUCAGCCACAUUGGGACUGAGACACGGGCCAAACUCCUACGGGAGGCAGCAGUGGGGAAUCUUGCGCAAUGGGCGAAAGCCUGACGCAGCCAUGCCGCGUGAAUGAUGAAGGUCUUAGGAUUGUAAAAUUCUUUCACCGGGGACGAUAAUGACGGUACCCGGAGAAGAAGCCCCGGCUAACUUCGUGCCAGCCGCCGCAGUAA
RNAcentral lists this ribosomal RNA (449 nucleotides) under uncultured bacterium. RNAcentral's name for it is "partial 16S ribosomal RNA". It matches the Rfam family "Bacterial small subunit ribosomal RNA", at positions 29 to 523 of the family's 1533-position model. The record is from RNAcentral.